UGUGAUGCUCCCAUCAAAAACCGCUGGUUUUGGGAGCAUGAUACUCCCAUCAAACCUAGGCCGUAGGAUGUGAUUGUUUUAAUCCUGGCCAUUCAUUAAAUCCCUGAAUGCAAUUCAUCUCUCUCCUCUCUUUAUCUCAGCACCUGCUAUUCCGGUUGCAUCUAAUACAUCCGAGUAAAAGAAACAAAAAAGGUACGCAUCACAGGUAAAAAUUUUGAGCCCUAAUCGCCGCUCUCUCGUCGUCUCUCCUCUCAUCAAUCGUCGUCUACCUCUCCGACGCCUCAAUAGCCGGACGCCUCCACCUCCACAGCUCUAAACGCCUCUAUCUCUCUCCCUUCUGCACAGUCAACGGAAACCCUCACCACUCUUCCACCUCUAUACCUCCAUAGCCCCUAAACAAACAACGACGAGCCCUCUCUCGUCCUCAACAGUCAGUCACAACGAAAAGCCCUCUCCAUUGUGCGAGGUCUAUUUGUUUUAGGAGUUGAAAAUGGUUAAAGAAGACCGUAAUGCUGUUCCAAAGCAUCCUUGUAAUGGAUGGAUAUAUUUCUUUUGAGAUUCACUUCUGAAGAGGGUAGGAACAACUUGAUUUUGGACUUGAUCCUUUGUGGGGAGAACGUAAUCAGGAAUGAAGUCAUCCGAAAGGCUCAAGAAAAAUACCGCAACACUAGAAGGAUAAUUUGAUACCAUGGCGCCUUUGUGGCUUUUGUUGUAAACUUGAUUUCAAUCAUGUUGUAAACUUGAUGAAUGUGAGGUGCCUUUGUGGCUUUUGUUGUAAACUUGAUAUGGCAAAUACUGCCUUCAAUUUAGAUCAUUCUAUUGUUUGUUGCUAUUGUAAUGGUAGCAGCUCGUUGUAAUGGUAACAGCUCGUUGUAAUGGUGAUCUAUUUUGGACAGUUUUCUGUUGCUGUUGCUAUUUCUUCUGCUGCAGGUGUUGGGUAAUCUGUUGGAUGGCUGUUUUGCUAUUGAACUGCUGCUGCUGUCCAGGUGUUGUGCUGC
Long non-coding RNA from Rhododendron vialii, 998 nucleotides. RefSeq lists it as uncharacterized. Lineage: Eukaryota; Viridiplantae; Streptophyta; Magnoliopsida; Ericales; Ericaceae. The record is from RefSeq and is a predicted model, not a curated record. The transcript is spliced from 3 exons.